Molecule: long non-coding RNA, 366 nt
Organism: Melospiza melodia melodia
Lineage: Eukaryota; Metazoa; Chordata; Aves; Passeriformes; Passerellidae
Exons: 4
Source: RefSeq, a predicted model, not a curated record
GGAUGACUUCUGCCAUCUCUUGUCUUCUGGAUAAAUCCGCUUCCUUACAAGUCCCAGUUGUAAGCAGCAUGUUGUUUACAUGCCCUGAUCAGAGCAAUCAAAGGAAGUUGUGAGAUGCCCAAUUCAUACAGUUUGACUUUCUGCCUAAAGCUACAGCCAUUUUUCAGCUGUGGCCCCUACACAAUGGGAUUUGAAGUAAGAAAUGAUGCUGAGACUGGCACAUUACAAGGCUCCAAAGAGGUAGCAGGCUUUGCUGGGGAGGGAGGAAGAGGAGAGGAGGUUGGUCAAAGUCAGACAAGGUGCUAGUCAGAGGUUCAUGUGACAAGGCAGCUGAUCACCGAGGCUCCGAUGGUGAAUGAAGUCGAU